This is a long non-coding RNA of Bolinopsis microptera, 1267 nucleotides long. RefSeq lists it as uncharacterized. NCBI's taxonomy places the organism in Eukaryota, Metazoa, Ctenophora, Tentaculata, Lobata, Bolinopsidae. The transcript is spliced from 3 exons. The record is from RefSeq and is a predicted model, not a curated record.
AGAGUGGUAUCAUUAUUGCUUAUGUUGGAGUUUUGCUUCCCUGACAGCCACAAUUCACCACAACGGCAGACAAACUGGUUCCUUCUCAACUCCUUCAGGAAGGAGACUGACUGCAGAUGGAUAUCUUGUUUUGGGGCAAGAUCAGGAUUCCUACGGUGGAUCAUUUCAAUCCCAUCAAGCUUUCGGUGGUGAACUUUACAAGUUAAACAUCUUUUCCACGAGGCUGAGAUCAUCUGAAGUGAGCGAACUGUAUUCUGCAGGACGUUGUUCUGAUAUUGAGAAGAAACACGGUGAAACUCGUAAGCUAAAGUGGGAACAAAUUCUGCAGCAAUCAAGAACUGGUGAUGUGGGUGAAAUUAUCGAAACAUGUGCACUUGAAAAGAAGCUCCAGUUUGUAGAAGGGGAACUGUCGAAGAAGUCAUCUGAGCUUGAAGAGGUUGGAGCUAAAUUUGAGCAAACUACAGAUCAGCUUUCUAACACAGUUACACAGCUGAACCAGACAGAGACACAGUUGGACAAAACGGAGACAAAGCUGAACCAAAAAGAAACAAAGUUGAACCAAACACAGACAAAGCUCAACUAAACGGAGACAAAUUUGAACCAGAUGGAGACACAGCUGGACCAAAUAGAGACACAGCUGAACCAGACAAAGACACAGCUGGAAUAAACGGAGACAAAGCAGAAAAACGGAGACAAAGCUGAACCAAACGGAGACGAAGCUGGGAGAGGCUGUAGUUAACCUUGAAACAACUAUCAGCCAGUUGAACCAGACAGAGAAGGACUUAGAGGAAAUACAAAACAACUUGAACGAAACUCUGGCUGAUGUGGAGGAACUAGAGGAGGAGCUAGAAAAGAUAAAGAAGAGUAUCUCUGGGUACGACUGUUUUAGAUUGACGAAUUCUUCGCAUUGGGAUGUGCUAUACACAUCGUCUUUUUUUUGAAAAAGUCUUGACGGAAGACAUGCUUCAAAUCCUCUACAAAAGUUGGGAAAAACUGAGACAUUUUAAAGGGAUGCCAGUGACACAGAAUCUAAUAGAGUUCUUCAAGACAUAUUUCCAUGACGGUCUGGACGGAUGCCAUGUUUAGAUUAGGAAACGGUCGACCAGUAAACUAUUUUGUCAUCAAAUUCAGACUUCAGAGGCAACAUGUAAGUGUGGCGGGUGUGGCACCACACUAUUGGCUCAUUUCCGCACAUAUUCGUAAUUUUGGCCAUUUCCGCACAAUUUAGCACUAGUUAGGACAUUUCGGCACUAUUGUUGUGAUUUCU